UAGAAAUAUAUGUUUUUUAUUUGAUUAUAAAAAAUAUAUGAUAACUGAUUUAUUAUGAUUAAUAUAAUGUGAUAUUGUUAUAUAUGAAAUAAACAGAAUAAUUUUUAUCUAUUUGGACAGUUCAUUCACUGUAGAUAAAUAAACAUAACAAAAGUCAAAUACUCUUUAAAUUUAUAUGCAGUUGUAACUAUGUGCAACAGUGCAACUAAAUAACUCUUUAAAAUAAACUACGACUUUUGCCA
Molecule: long non-coding RNA, 242 nt
Filed under: Ananas comosus (pineapple)
Lineage: Eukaryota; Viridiplantae; Streptophyta; Magnoliopsida; Poales; Bromeliaceae
Description: long non-coding RNA (ACOM_LNC018503)
Source: RNAcentral